RNAcentral lists this unclassified non-coding RNA (1096 nucleotides) under Hevea brasiliensis (rubber tree). Lineage: Eukaryota; Viridiplantae; Streptophyta; Magnoliopsida; Malpighiales; Euphorbiaceae. The record is from RNAcentral.
UCGACACGCUUAACAAUUCCUAUCCGAUAUUUUCCAUCAAUCCGUCGAUUCAACGAUUGGUAAUACAACCUGCAAAUCUGUUAUCAAAUACCUGCAUUUCAUCUGAUUUUAUCCACCAAGGCAUCCAGUUGAGCUCUUCCCUACCGUUCAACAUUACCGGCGAGAACACUGUCAUGCUUUUUAACUGCUCCGAGUCGAUACUUGAUCAACCGUUGAAUUGUUCGCCGAGUAGCUUGUGCCACUUAUACGUUAAGGGAGAAGAUUACUCUCGGUGCAGAGAUUCAUCGUUGUGUUGUACAUUCAAAGCGGGCGGGUCAGCGUCGGCCUAUAGGAUACGCGUCCUAGAAAACGGGUGUAGGGCUUAUAGAAGUUUCAUUGGUUUGGAUUGGGGUUUGCCAGUGGAUAAGUGGCCAAACCCGGGUGUGGAGAUCCAGUGGGUGCUUCCUCCGGAACCAGUGUGUGAAUCUCAGGUGGAUUGUGAUGCGAACUCUACGUGUGAGCUCAACCGUUCUGAUGGGGUAAGGAGGUGCUAUUGUAAGGUUGGGCUUCAAUGGAAUCCAAUCCAAGGAAACUGUGCCCAAACUGGUGGAUGUCAAAGUCCUGGAGGAUGUGACAGACAAACGAAGAAAACACUCAUAACAGCUUUAACUUCUAGCCUUAGUGCAUUGGUCUUGCUGAUCACUAUUGCCAUUCUACUCCACAAACGCUAUAAACGCAUCAGAGAGGCACAAAAACGUCUUGCCAGACACUGCGAAGAAAUCUUGAGUGUUGAUGGAAGCAAAUCAGCAAAGCACUUUACAAGUAAAGAAAUUAAGAAAGCAACAAAAAACUUCUCCAAAGAUUGCCUCAUAGGUGUCGGAGGCUACGGUGAAGUCUACAAAGGCUAUUUAGAGGAUGGCACUGUUGUUGCUGUCAAGUGUGCUAAGGUUGGAAAUUCCAAAGGCACUGAUCAGCUCCUCAAUGAAGUUCGUAUUCUAUGCCAAGUCAAUCAUAGAAGCCUUGUUCGUUUGCUCGGCUGUUGCGUUGAACUUGACCAACCUAUCCUAGUUUAUGAGUACAUUCAAAACGGGACUCUUCUUGAUCAUUUACAAGGUCU